ACAUUUUCAAAUGUGUGUUUUGUCUGGAUGAAUGAAACAAAGUCAGGUGUUGUGAUUUAUUUUUAUUUUUUUUUUUCACAGCAGAGAAAUUAAUUGCUGAAAGCAGCUAUUUUUAACAAGAAAGCAAAGACUAAAAAUCCCUAAAAGAGGCUGGUCUUUGCAGGGCAUAAGCAUAUCUGACCCCUUUUUAGGUAACCCCUGAACAGUUUGCCUUUGUUAUUCUAUCAGUGGACCUGUAGCAAGAGUGACAACCUAAAUACAAACCUCCCAGUUCCCCAGCCAAGCCCCAACCUUCUGCAGGCACUUAUUCUGAUUUACAAAUGGUACUUUUAAGAGUCUGCUGCUUUUGACUUUUAUUCAUAGAAAUGAAAAGCGGGGUAAAUCUGGAGAAGCAGUGAAGAGAGAAGCAACAAUAUCCCUAACAUUUGGAGGCAAAUGUUGCACUUAUGGAAAAUAUGCAACAAAAAUGAAGCGAGGGUGGAAGGCGCUCCAAAUGUUAAAUAUUCAUUAGUAUUCCCUACGCUGCGUGUUCUAAAUAUAAGAUGCGUUUCAGCGCAGCCCCUGUGUAUGGCUGGGAUGCCUCCCUCUCCUAUAUAUGAUGCCAGAGCGAUUCGGAUGGUGGGGAAGUCGCCAUGGCAACACCUUGAUGCUACCUUUUGUUCGCCAGAUGAAAUGACCAGGGGUGGAGAACCCGAGAUAGGCCGGGUGCUGCUGACCAGACUCUGAGUCAAAUGCUGCUCUCCUCCCCAGAUAAAAAAAGGAUGGGAAAGCAAGCGUUCACAUGCUCCUUUUGCCUCUGCAGUGCCUUUGAUCUGAAAACAGCAGGAAGAGAGGCUGUAGAACAAGUCUGUGGUAACCUGAGCACCGCCGUGUGUCGCGGCCCAAGGGAGGAACGAAGUGUCAGGCCACGGCCCGUGCUAUCGCAGCACUGCUGUGCUGGCUACCAUGGCUAAAACCACUGUGUUAAAGUAAACACACACAUCUCUGGCUCAAACAGGUGUAGAGGCAUUGCUCUGAAUGAGACUGGGGGUUGCAAAAAGGUUUGGAUAUGUGCAGGGAGGGUGGUGGUCCUGCUGCUGGUCACUCAAAGGACAGGUCAGUGGCUGCAUGGGCUGAAGCCGAGCAUUGGCCCAGACAGUGGUAGAGCUCAAGUCCUACUUGGUGCCUGGAGACUGAGAGGAGGAUGAAAUAGGACACAUGACCCCAUCCAUUUGCUGCCACUCCAGCUCUUACGUCUGCUGGAAAUGACCAGCCCUGGUGCUUUCUGAGAUAACCACUUCAGAAUUCACUCAGGCAGAACCAGUUGGGUUUGCUGGUCCCACUGCUGAUGGUGGAUGUGGACAGAUCUCACUGUCACACACCACUGCAGCUGUGGCACACAGCAUCCCUAUAGGACUCAUAACCAUCUUCGGGAAGUGUCGUGGAGGGACAAGGGUCCCCAGUGCACAGGCUGAGCUGUGGAUCUGCUCAGACAGCCCCAUCCUCUUCCUCAUUCCUGCCCGUCCUGCUGGGCUGGGCUCUGCUCUGACUCAUGCACUAUCAGCAAUUCCCUGGUCCGUUCACAUCAGAGUCUUUGAGUGCUGCUGAACCAGAAAGGCCGUGGCUUGCUUUUCUGGUCCCCGGCUGGAUUACUCCUCUGGCCUUCAGGAAAAGCAUCUUUUUUUUCUUUCUUUUUUUUUUUUUUUGUAAACAAAUAACACAGGAAACUUCAUGAGGCACUGUGGUU
This 1726-nucleotide long non-coding RNA is filed under the name Anas platyrhynchos platyrhynchos (common mallard). RNAcentral describes it as "lncRNA (ENSAPLG00000021466.1)". Lineage: Eukaryota; Metazoa; Chordata; Aves; Anseriformes; Anatidae. The record is from RNAcentral.